This 427-nucleotide ribosomal RNA is filed under the name uncultured bacterium. RNAcentral describes it as "partial 16S ribosomal RNA". It matches the Rfam family "Bacterial small subunit ribosomal RNA", at positions 355 to 774 of the family's 1533-position model. The record is from RNAcentral.
UGGGGAAUAUUGGACAAUGGGCGAAAGCCUGAUCCAGCCAUGCCGCGUGUGUGAAGAAGGUCUUCGGAUUGUAAAGCACUUUAAGUUGGGAGGAAGGGCAUUAACCUAAUACGUUAUUGUUUUGACGUUACCGACAGAAUAAGCACCGGCUAACUCUGUGCCAGCAGCCGCGGUAAUACAGAGGGUGCAAGCGUUAAUCGGAAUUACUGGGCGUAAAGCGCGCGUAGGUGGUUUGUUAAGUUGGAUGUGAAAUCCCCGGGCUCAACCUGGGAACUGCAUUCAAAACUGACUGACUAGAGUAUGGUAGAGGGUGGUGGAAUUUCCUGUGUAGCGGUGAAAUGCGUAGAUAUAGGAAGGAACACCAGUGGCGAAGGCGACCACCUGGACUAAUACUGACACUGAGGUGCGAAAGCGUGGGGAGCAAACA